RNAcentral lists this ribosomal RNA (490 nucleotides) under uncultured bacterium. RNAcentral's name for it is "partial 16S ribosomal RNA". It matches the Rfam family "Bacterial small subunit ribosomal RNA", at positions 30 to 507 of the family's 1533-position model. The record is from RNAcentral.
AUUGAACGCUGGCGGCAUGCCUUACACAUGCAAGUCGAACGGCAGCAUGAUCUAGCUUGCUAGAUUGAUGGCGAGUGGCGAACGGGUGAGUAAUACAUCGGAACGUGCCCUGUAGUGGGGGAUAACUAGUCGAAAGAUUAACUAAUACCGCAUACGACCUGAGGGUGAAAGUGGGGGACCGCAAGGCCUCAUGCUAUAGGAGCGGCCGAUGUCUGAUUAGCUAGUUGGUGAGGUAAAGGCUCACCAAGGCGACGAUCAGUAGCUGGUCUGAGAGGACGAUCAGCCACACUGGGACUGAGACACGGCCCAGACUCCUACGGGAGGCAGCAGUGGGGAAUUUUGGACAAUGGGCGAAAGCCUGAUCCAGCAAUGCCGCGUGUGUGAAGAAGGCCUUCGGGUUGUAAAGCACUUUUGUCCGGAAAGAAAUGGCUCUGGUUAAUACCUGGGGUCGAUGACGGUACCGGAAGAAUAAGGACCGGCUAACUACGUG